RNAcentral lists this ribosomal RNA (449 nucleotides) under uncultured bacterium. Its description in RNAcentral is "bacterial SSU rRNA". It matches the Rfam family "Bacterial small subunit ribosomal RNA", at positions 355 to 796 of the family's 1533-position model. The record is from RNAcentral.
UCGAGAAUCAUUCGCAAUGGGCGAAAGCCUGACGAUGCGACGCCGUGUGAUUGAAGAAGGCCUUCGGGUCGUAAAGAUCUUUCGCUUGGGAGCAAGAGAAGCAGGCUAAUAUCCUGUUAAUUUGAGGGUACCAGGUAAAGAAGCACCGGCUAACUCCGUGCCAGCAGCUGCGGUAAUACGGAGGGUGCAAGCAUUAAUCGGAUUUAUUGGGCGUAAAGGGCGCGUAGGCGGGGAUGUAAGUCAGAUGUGAAAUCCCGGGGCUCAACCUCGGAACUGCAUUUGAAACUAUAUUUCUAGAGGGUAGAAGGAGAAAACGGAAUUCCACAAGUAGCGGUGAAAUGCGUAGAUAUGUGGAAGAACACCGGUGGCGAAGGCGGUUUUCUAUUUUAUUCCUGACGCUGAUGCGCGAAAGCAAGGGGAUCAAACAGGAUUAGAUACCCCCGUAGUCC